Molecule: ribosomal RNA, 324 nt
Filed under: uncultured eukaryote
Lineage: Eukaryota
Description: partial 18S ribosomal RNA
Rfam family: Eukaryotic small subunit ribosomal RNA
Source: RNAcentral
CCCUUAGAUGCUCCGGGCCGCACGCGCGCUACACUGGUCGAUGCAACGAGUUUCUUUCCUUGGCCGACAGGCCUGGGCAAUCUUUGAACAUCGAUCGUGAUCGGGAUAGAUUCUUGUAAUUUUUGAUCUUAAACGAGGAAUUCCUAGUAAACGCAAGUCAUCAGCUUGCAUUGAUUACGUCCCUGCCCUUUGUACACACCGCCCGUCGCACCUACCGAUUGAAUGGUCCGGUGAAAUCUCCGGACUGGCGUGAGUCGGAGCAAUCUGACAAACACCGGAAAGUUGAUUAAACCUUACCAUUUAGAGGAAGGUGAAGUCGUAACA